CCGCUCGCCGGAAGACCAAGGGUUCCUGUCCAACGUUAAUCGGGGCAGGGUGAGUCGACCCCUAAGGCGAGGCCGAAAGGCGUAGUCGAUGGGAAACGGGUUAAUAUUCCCGUACUUGGUGUUACUGCGAAGGGGGGACGGAGAAGGCUAUGUUGGCCGGGCGACGGUUGUCCCGGUUUAAGCGUGUAGGUGUGUGUUCCAGGUAAAUCCGGUUCACUUUAACACUGAGGCGUGAUGACGAGGCACUACGGUGCUGAAGCAACAAAUGCCCUGCUUCCAGGAAAAGCCUCUAAGCAUCAGGUAACAUCAAAUCGUACCCCAAACCGACACAGGUGGUCAGGUAGAGAAUACCAAGGCGCUUGAGAGAACUCGGGUGAAGGAACUAGGCAAAAUGGUGCCGUAACUUCGGGAGAAGGCACGCUGACACGUAGGUGAAGUGAUUUACUCAUGGAGCUGAAGUCAGUCGAAGAUACCAGCUGGCUGCAACUGUUUAUUAAAAACACAGCACUGUGCAAACACGAAAGUGGACGUAUACGGUGUGACGCCUGCCCGGUGCCGGAAGGUUAAUUGAUGGGGUCAGCGCAAGCGAAGCUCCUGAUCGAAGCCCCGGUAAACGGCGGCCGUAACUAUAACGGUCCUAAGGUAGCGAAAUUCCUUGUCGGGUAAGUUCCGACCUGCACGAAUGGCGUAAUGAUGGCCAGGCUGUCUCCACCCGAGACUCAGUGAAAUUGAACUCGCUGUGAAGAUGCAGUGUACCCGCGGCAAGACGGAAAGACCCCGUGAACCUUUACUAUAGCUUGACACUGAACAUUGAGCCUUGAUGUGUAGGAUAGGUGGGAGGCUUUGAAGUGUGGACGCCAGUCUGCAUGGAGCCGGCCUUGAAAUACCACCCUUUAAUGUUUGAUGUUCUAACGUGGACCCGUGAUCCGGGUUGCGGACAGUGUCUGGUGGGUAGUUUGACUGGGGCGGUCUCCUCCUAAAGAGUAACGGAGGAGCACGAAGGUUGGCUAAUCCUGGUCGGACAUCAGGAGGUUAGUGCAAUGGCAUAAGCCAGCUUGACUGCGAGCGUGACGGCGCGAGCAGGUGCGAAAGCAGGUCAUAGUGAUCCGGUGGUUCUGAAUGGAAGGGCCAUCGCUCAACGGAUAAAAGGUACUCCGGGGAUAACAGGCUGAUACCGCCCAAGAGUUCAUAUCGACGGCGGUGUUUGGCACCUCGAUGUCGGCUCAUCACAUCCUGGGGCUGAAGUAGGUCCCAAGGGUAUGGCUGUUCGCCAUUUAAAGUGGUACGCGAGCUGGGUUUAGAACGUCGUGAGACAGUUCGGUCCCUAUCUGCCGUGGGCGCUGGAGAACUGAGGGGGGCUGCUCCUAGUACGAGAGGACCGGAGUGGACGCAUCACUGGUGUUCGGGUUGUCAUGCCAAUGGCACUGCCCGGUAGCUAAAUGCGGAAGAGAUAAGUGCUGAAAGCAUCUAAGCACGAAACUUGCCCCGAGAUGAGUUCUCCCUGAGACUUUAGGUCUCCUGAAGGAACGUUGAAGACGACGACGUUGAUAGGCCGGGUGUGUAAGCGCAGCGAUGCGUUGAGCUAACCGGUACUAAUGAACCGUGAGGCUUAACCUU
This 1617-nucleotide ribosomal RNA is filed under the name Salmonella enterica. RNAcentral's name for it is "partial 23S ribosomal RNA". It matches the Rfam family "Bacterial large subunit ribosomal RNA", at positions 1330 to 2925 of the family's 2925-position model. The record is from RNAcentral. Lineage: Bacteria; Pseudomonadati; Pseudomonadota; Gammaproteobacteria; Enterobacterales; Enterobacteriaceae.